CCUGAAGUAAGGUUGUGCUAAUUUCGAUGGCGAUUUGUGUAGAAGAAACCUACGCUGCUCUUUAGCAGUUGUCUCACACUUUCUCAAAGUUCGUCUUUCGACGUACAAGUUUUCUCACGAAGAAUGCAUCUUUAACUACGAUGUUCAGGGGCUGUGAUUCAUGGCGCCUGCCCUUCUUCCUGACUCGGGCUCAUGUAGCUGCUGUGUGGCCCGUGUGUGCACGGAGUGGUCAGCACGUUCACUUCAGCGUCUCACUUUUUAGACUUGCCUGUCUUCGAGUGCGUCAGCCUUUCCGCGGAACGCGUCCACAAGCAGCGCGGCGGCGACUCUUGGCGGGCGGGGCCGAGAGACGGUAAAAGCAAAACGGCGGCGCUGUGCCAUUCUGCUCUCAGGAAGGACGACAGCGGCGGACGGUAAAAGCUCUUCUCCCGCGUGCCGCAUCGAUCAGCGGCGAGGGAGCGGUAAAUGCAGGGCCCCGUCGAUACGCUGACGCCAUCAGGCCUAAUGGGGUAAAAAAAAAAGACCCUUCUUCCCUGCCCAAACAGAUCAAUUGAGCUCUUCCAGCACUGCUGCUGCUUUUGCACCAUUUUUAUAACAUUUACAUCACAUUAGACAACAGAAAAUGAUGUUCAUGCUGACAAAGAAAGACAUUUUUGGUCCUUCUAUAGAAUACUAUUCGGAAUGUUCCAUACUGUAAGGUCCAAGUUUCCCGAUAUAAAGAGGGAAAGAGCAAGCUAAUGGAAAUGAUUAAAGUUCCAUUUAAAUUUGGCUUUAUUUAUUAUUCACUAGUUUGAAAGUUUUAACUUCUUGCGCUUAGUAGUAGUAAUAAACUUGAAACGUGAAGGGGGCACUUUAAAUCAAUGUUAAAGUACAGGUUGAAAGAGCUUGCAUCGAAUGGAAGACUAAAUUUAGAAAAGCAAGGAACUGCUAUAAUUGUACUAGCCCCACAUCCUGACCUCCAUUUGUUCUUAUGACCAUUAUUAUUCUCCGCUGUGUCCUGCGACCCUGGAGCGAUAUGAUUUAUCGAGUUCAUGAUCAGAUACAACUGAGUGAGGCGCAGGGAUUUCAUUUGCUUUAUGUGAGCAAACCCUGUGUAGGGCGGUCAACGUGCAGCAAGAUCCGGGCUGUACCACAAAACCCAUGCUCAUGUGACUGUCCAACCAUCCCAUUUGUGGAAGAUUAAAGGAAUGGCAAUUCAUUCAUUUGGUAGUCACUACAUAAGUGAAAUAAUACAUCCAGAGGAAAAUCAUGUCAUCUAGGUCAUCUAGGAGUUUUUCUUCUGCCUGUUGGCAAAAUGGAAGAAAAUGUCACAUAAAAGCUCUAUAAUUCAGUCUUCAACAAUAAUUUUUAUUACAAAAUUUAGUCUGGGUGCAGUGGUUGCCUUUGACCAGAGAAAGGCAGUGUGUAAAGCUGAUCUAAUGUCCCUACUGUGAGCCUGUAACUUUGAGGGAGGGAGGGUUGUUGACUAUUAUGGAUGCAAUGCAUGGAAUUGCAGGUUUGUGCCUGUUUGAUUCAACUGCAUUUGGCCAUUCUGAUCUCAGAAUCAGCCAGCAGCCAUACCACCAUGUUCCUGAAGCUAAGAAAUUGUGGGCUUGGUUAUUACUUGGAUGGGAGACAUAUUUUGAAAGCAAAGUUAAUGCUGGAAGUGGUGUUGGUAGGCCAGUAGGGGGCAAUCUUCCUUCUGGUCAAAUAAACCCAAUACCUCAGUGCAGUGAUGGGGAUGUUGUGCUGUAGGAGAUGCUGUCUAUCAGGUGAGAUGUUGAACCAAGGUCCUGACUCACUGUGGUCGUUAAAGCCCCCGUGACACUCAUUGCAAAUAGCAGGGGGUUCCUUGGUGUCCUGGCUAAAUUCCCAGCUUGGCUCGUUCAGCCUGAAACCUAAUCAUCCCACGAUUUAUUUGGCUAAAAAUAAGUUCUCUGCAUCUCCACCUCAGCAGAUGUGUGGUGAGUGUUCUGGUGUAAAAUGGUUCUUGUACACUGGUGGUGGGAUAGGUGAGUUCCCCCUCAUCGCUGUACAGCACUUUGAGCAUCUGGAAUAGUGCUAUAUAAACGCAAUGUUUAUUUCAUUCAUUCAUUCAUUCAUUCAUUCAUGAGUCCAGCCCCAGCUGUGGACAGGCAUAUCACUUUUCUCUUUUUUGUGUACAGCAGACUAAUCAAUGGGCAGGGGGACAUUCUGUUUCUGUAUUUACCAAUAGUAACUGAGUUGUACAAAAGCAUCAUUAGCAGACACAGAGGAAGUGAUGGUCUGACGUAGUAGUGAUGUCUGACUCUUAAAUACAGACCACAAUCUAAACUGUCUAGCCCCAAGCAGAAUCCCUCUGUACAACAGCCAGGUCAGAAUUGUAGGAAAGAUGUUGCUAAAGGCCACAGUGGCUUUGGGAAUCAGCACAGAAGUAGUAUAGUCCAGAGGCUAUUUUGAGUUUUCAACAGUGGAAACGUUACUAUAGCUCUCUUCAAAGGUUUACCAGCCAAGCGAUAAACAGGAAGCAAAGGCCCCAUUUUGCCCCUUGGUGUGAGAUAGGGGAAGGAGCUGUGUCAGUUGAGGACAGCUAAGGAGCCUAUUGAUUUGUAUUUGUUGUUGUGUUGUUGCUUUUUAGGAUUGUCGUCAACUUUUAUUUUGCUGACCUGGCAAAACCUGAAAAAAUAAAAGUGUCUGGUGACCAAACAGUCUGAUUGGCAUUAAAACGCUGCAGACAAGCAGCAUUCAUGCAAUCGAUGCAGAAAAGAUAUCAAUAACAGCAUUUUUGUUAAGUUCAGAUGGAUGUAUGGAUAUGCAUCAGCCAGAUCGGUUUAGAAAAAGUAAUGGAAAUGUUAUCUUUCUGAUUAUCAGGUGGUUGUGUUCGGUCUUUGAGUAAUGUGAAGUCACGGGUUUGAAUAUAGGAUGUCAAGUAGUUUAUAUGGUUGCUAUAGAUUAGCCUACCUUGCAGAAUUGCACUAAUGCAUCUGAAUCAAUAAAGUAUGAUAGAUCUAUAUUUAACUUCCAUCCAACCUUCAGCUGUCUUUACUUGGGAAUAUAGAUUCAUAACUUACCGUCAUAUUGGUUUGUUCAUCCAAUUAUUGUGAACUUUUAAUAGCAUUUAUGGCAGGGCAAUGUCAAUGCUGCUGUAAAAGGUUAUUUUAAAAACUUGUUACCUUUUUCUAAUGAAAUAAUAAAGGGAAAACCAGUGGAUGUUCAGAAGCAAACUAUUGCGAAGAAAAACAUUUACUUUCUUAUAACAUUACCUAAAUUCCAGGAAUGUUGUUCAUCAAACAGGAAUAUGUCUGCUGGACAUGAGUAAGUUAAUUAAUAACACCUUGUUUGUACAGAUGUUUAGAUUUCAUAAUUGAUGGUAAAAUGUUUGAUUUACAACAAUGAUAGACCCAUUAGACAGCUAUCUUAUGUUUUUUUUUUUUUAGGAAUUCCAGUUUUUUUUUAUGUUAACUGGAAAAAGGCUGGUAUUCUGGUAUGCAAAUAUUACAUCCAAAUGAGGUCUGAACAACUGAAAGUGCCUAAGUUCUAAAAUAUUAUGGAUUAGGAGGAUUGCAGGAGAAUAAAAAGAUAAGAAAAAUA
Molecule: long non-coding RNA, 3549 nt
Organism: Anguilla rostrata (American eel)
Lineage: Eukaryota; Metazoa; Chordata; Actinopteri; Anguilliformes; Anguillidae
Exons: 2
Source: RefSeq, a predicted model, not a curated record